GUCACUUGCAAUGGCCUGAUCUUAGGUUAGGAAACUGCUUGUGUUUCAUUGUUACAUUUGUUCCAGGAGGAUCGUCAAUAAAAUAACUAGCAAGUGAACCAAACCAAUGGUUGCUUUUGGGUUGUUCGAUCGUGUGGAAACUGAAGCAGCAAUUCGAUUGUUUACUUCCUUUUUACGUUGGGGUUUGGACCAUAGACUACUUUAGAAUGCUUGAUCUAUUGGAUUGCAGUUCAUCUUCAAUAAAGCUAGCUUUAGCUAAUGAGAACAUUACCUGUGGACCCAUUGUUCUUCUUUUUGUUGCCUCUUUUCAACCAUUUCGAUUGUCUACUCCCGUUUGCAAUGCGAGCUUGUGUUUUCAUGCACAUUUUUCUACCCCUUUUGAAGCUGAGAAAAACCUUGGUUUUGAGUUCACAACCCCAUGGACAAAGACUUGGUCUUCGUCUAUAAUUACAUCUAAUUGUUCUUCAUUAUACCUAAAAUGCUAUAU
RNAcentral lists this unclassified non-coding RNA (487 nucleotides) under Hevea brasiliensis (rubber tree). Lineage: Eukaryota; Viridiplantae; Streptophyta; Magnoliopsida; Malpighiales; Euphorbiaceae. The record is from RNAcentral.